CAAAAGCGUAUAUUAAAGUUGUUGCAGUUAAAAAGCUCGUAGUUGAACCUUGGGCUUGGCUGGCCGGUCAAUCUUUUUUGAUGCGUACUGGACCCAGCCGAGCCUUUCCUUCUGGCUAGCCUUUUGGCGAACCAGGACUUUUACUUUGAAAAAAUUAGAGUGUUCAAAGCAGGCCUUUGCUCGAAUAUAUUAGCAUGGAAUAAUAGAAUAGGACGUUAUGGUUCUAUUUUGUUGGUUUCUAGGACCAUCGUAAUGAUUAAUAGGGACGGUCGGGGGUAUCAGUAUUCAGUUGUCAGAGGUGAAAUUCUUGGAUUUACUGAAGACUAACUACUGCGAAAGCAUUUACCAAGGACGUUUUCAUUAA
This 364-nucleotide ribosomal RNA is filed under the name uncultured eukaryote. RNAcentral describes it as "partial 18S ribosomal RNA". It matches the Rfam family "Eukaryotic small subunit ribosomal RNA", at positions 592 to 976 of the family's 1831-position model. The record is from RNAcentral.